Molecule: long non-coding RNA, 129 nt
Organism: Suncus etruscus (white-toothed pygmy shrew)
Lineage: Eukaryota; Metazoa; Chordata; Mammalia; Eulipotyphla; Soricidae
Exons: 3
Source: RefSeq, a predicted model, not a curated record
UGACUUUAUCAGCUAUAAAAACUUUGAGGACUUCAAGAUUACUAUAAGAGCUGGAGAAAAUUUAGAUAAUAAUGUAGAAGAUAUGAUGAUUGCAGAAACACAAAAAACACAGCUUAUUGAUGGAGUUGC